GAUAUAUUAGUAGAAUCAAUAGUUUCUGGGAACUUCCUGAUGGUUAUGCAGAAAUAUCAGCAAACUGAAUUGAGAAUGGUGGCCACUGAUUCUUGAGAAGGAUUUGAAAGCAUAGGGUCUCAGCCAGUUCUAGAACCAGGAAAAGAGAUUGCUGGAGAUAUACAUCAAAGUAACAAAAUAAACAAUGUCAAAGUAACAAAAUAAACAAUGGAUACAUUAAAAGGUAUCAGCUUGGGAAAAGAAACCUUAAGGUGGGACAAGGAAGUUUUCUGGAAUGUAGAGGCCAAAAAGACUAGUAUAAUGGGGAAAUAAGCAAGUAGGAUAAGUGGGAGAAAGAGCUAAUUUGAUUAAAAUGGUUUUACAGCAGACUGUCUAACCUCACUGUCCAAUAUCUAGAAAUCCCAAGAAUUUGUGGGAAGCAAGGAACCAGGGUAGAUGGUGGCAGGAGGGGACCGAAACACAACUUUUUGACCACCUCAAACAAGUUGUGCUUCUCUCCUACUCCUUCCAUGAGUACCCCUUCUAUCAAUAGGGUCAGAAAAUUGGUUUACAACUCACAGGAAAAAGACAAAUUCAUGCUGUUUUGGUUUCAAGACAGACAAUGACAAUUUUGGAUAAUCGUAAUGCUCGUUGAUUGCUUUCAAAGACUUUCCACCUUGUAAGAGGUGAAGUCUUUUGUCCUCGCUGCUUUCAAAUUUAUUCUAUUGGGUAGAUAAGGUGUGACUGAAACUUGAAUGUUAGUGUCGUGGUCCUUAUGUCCUAACCAGUGGUUUAAAAAUCGCCGAGUCUGUACGGAAUUGGCCGAUUCGAACAGGGAAUCGGUCAUCCCGUGUCGAUUCUUUUGUAAAACCGGAAAUCGUCCAAUUCUAGAGAAGAACCGACGAUUCUGUAUAGUGAAUCGCUGGAUGAUGCCAUGACUCACCCGGUAGACGUCAUGACUCGUCCGGUUUGACAUCAUGACUCGCCUGGUUACGUGCACGCGCAUGAAUUUUUGAGUUACAAUGGGCACCCAUUGUCAAAAACACGUGCUCCAUCACAAACCCACACUGCUACGUGUGUUUCGCGCGUGACUAGCUUUGGUAGCAAAAGACUAUUUAUCCUUACCAAAUUUGUUCUGUGGGUUCAAUGUGGGACAAUUGCGCCACGAUAAUAGCUCAGAAAGAAAUAGGAUAUAAUUAUUGAGUGACCUCUUUGUAUCACAACUUAACAUUUAACGUGGUGGUUAGAGCGUUGCUUUGUGCGCUGAACAUCGCGGGAUCAAUUCCUGCCCAGGUGCCAUCAUUCCUUCACAAACAAAUUAAUUUUUUCCUUUUUACAAAAUAAUUUUUUUUUACAAAAAAAAUAAAAGUUUUUUAUAAAAAAAUAUAUUUUUUGUUAAAAAAAAAAUAUAAGGUUCUUGUCAAAAAAAAAAGGUAAUACAACAAAAAAAAAAUUUCUUGUCAAAAAAUAAAAGCUUAUUGUAAGAAAA
This 1468-nucleotide long non-coding RNA is filed under the name Amborella trichopoda. RNAcentral describes it as "long non-coding RNA (ATRI_LNC001177)". Lineage: Eukaryota; Viridiplantae; Streptophyta; Magnoliopsida; Amborellales; Amborellaceae. The record is from RNAcentral.